UGAGGAAUAUUGGGUCAAUGGGACGAGAGUCUGAACCAGCCAAGUAGCGUGCAGGAUGACGGCCCUCCGGGUUGUAAACUGCUUUUAGUUGGGAAUAAAAAAGGUGACGUGUCAUCUAUUGUAUGUACCAUCAGAAAAAGGACCGGCUAAUUCCGUGCCAGCAGCCGCGGUAAUACGGAAGGUCCAGGCGUUAUCCGGAUUUAUUGGGUUUAAAGGGAGCGUAGGCCGCCUGGUAAGCGUGUUGUGAAAUGUCGUUGCUCAACAACGUCACUGCAGCGCGAACUGCCGGGCUUGAGUGUGCGGAAAGCGGGCGGAAUUUGUGGUGUAGCGGUGAAAUGCUUAGAUACCACGAAGAACUCCGAUUGCGAAGGCAGCUCGCUGUAGCAUUACUGACGCUGAAGCUCGAAGGUGCGGGUAUCGAACAGGAUUAGAUACCCUGGUAGU
This 444-nucleotide ribosomal RNA is filed under the name uncultured Prevotella sp. RNAcentral describes it as "bacterial SSU rRNA". It matches the Rfam family "Bacterial small subunit ribosomal RNA", at positions 355 to 794 of the family's 1533-position model. The record is from RNAcentral. Lineage: Bacteria; Pseudomonadati; Bacteroidota; Bacteroidia; Bacteroidales; Prevotellaceae.